RNAcentral lists this ribosomal RNA (468 nucleotides) under uncultured bacterium. RNAcentral describes it as "partial 16S ribosomal RNA". It matches the Rfam family "Bacterial small subunit ribosomal RNA", at positions 28 to 507 of the family's 1533-position model. The record is from RNAcentral.
GACGAACGCUGGCGGCGUGCUUAACACAUGCAAGUCGAACGGAAAGGCCCUGCUUUUGUGGGGUGCUCGAGUGGCGAACGGGUGAGUAACACGUGAGUAGCCUGCCCUUGACUUUGGGAUAACUUCAGGAAACUGGGGCUAAUACCGGAUAGGAGCUCCUGCUGCAUGGGGGGGGUUGGAAAGUUUCGGCGGUUGGGGAUGGACUCGCGGCUUAUCAGCUUGUUGGUGGGGUAGUGGCUUACCAAGGCUUUGACGGGUAGCCGGCCUGAGAGGGUGACCGGCCACAUUGGGACUGAGAUACGGCCCAGACGCCUACGGGAGGCAGCAGUGGGGAAUAUUGCACAGUGGGCGGAAGCCUGAUGCAGCAACGCCGCGUGCGGGAUGACGGCCUUCGGGUUGUAAACCGCUUUCGCCUGUGACGAAGCGUGAGUGACGGUAAUGGGUAAAGAAGCACCGGCUAACUACGUG